CUCUUUGAUCUUAUACAGUUAUACUACAUCGUUUUAUGUGAAACUAAAACUGUCGUUCAAUCAAAACAGGGUCUCUCUGCUCCAUUUCACAGCUCCUCCUACAAACCCUAAGGCCUUCACUUGCAGCAGCCGCACCGAUUUGAAUCCGCCACGAUCAUUGUUGUUGGCCUUUGCCGCUCUCCAUAACUGCCGUGGUAGCUGUCGUUCACCUCUUCGAAGCCAUCGCCGUGGCCGUUGCAAUUGAACACAAGGAGGAGGCAAGUAGCCCUAUAUAGCUGUCUACCCCUCUGCCUAAUUGUCUUAUACACAUCGCCGGCGCUGUUGUGUGGUUGAGGUAAAAGAAAGAAAGGAGAGGGAGAGAUGGCA
This 366-nucleotide unclassified non-coding RNA is filed under the name Hevea brasiliensis (rubber tree). Lineage: Eukaryota; Viridiplantae; Streptophyta; Magnoliopsida; Malpighiales; Euphorbiaceae. The record is from RNAcentral.